This 486-nucleotide ribosomal RNA is filed under the name uncultured bacterium. RNAcentral describes it as "partial 16S ribosomal RNA". It matches the Rfam family "Bacterial small subunit ribosomal RNA", at positions 30 to 507 of the family's 1533-position model. The record is from RNAcentral.
AUUGAACGCUGGCGGCAUGCCUUACACAUGCAAGUCGAACGGCAGCACGGGUGCUUGCACCUGGUGGCGAGUGGCGAACGGGUGAGUAAUACAUCGGAACAUGUCCUGUAGUGGGGGAUAGCCCGGCGAAAGCCGGAUUAAUACCGCAUACGAUCUACGGAUGAAAGCGGGGGACCUUCGGGCCUCGCGCUAUAGGGUUGGCCGAUGGCUGAUUAGCUAGUUGGUGGGGUAAAGGCCUACCAAGGCGACGAUCAGUAGCUGGUCUGAGAGGACGACCAGCCACACUGGGACUGAGACACGGCCCAGACUCCUACGGGAGGCAGCAGUGGGAAAUUUUGGACAAUGGGCGAAGGCCUGAUCCAGCAAUGCCGCGUGUGUGAAGAAGGCCUUCGGGUUGUAAAGCACUUUUGUCCGGAAAGAAAUCCUUGGCCCUAAUACGGUCGGGGGAUGACGGUACCGGAAGAAUAAGCACCGGCUAACUACGUG